AUUGAACGCUGGCGGCAGGCCUAACACAUGCAAGUCGAGCGGAUGAAGGGAGCUUGCUCCUGGAUUCAGCGGCGGACGGGUGAGUAAUGCCUAGGAAUCUGCCUGGUAGUGGGGGAUAACGUCCGGAAACGGGCGCUAAUACCACAUACGUCCUGAGGGAGAAAGUGGGGGAUCUUCGGACAUCACGCUAUCAGAUGAGCCUAGGUCGGAUUAGCUAGUUGGUGGGGUAAAGGCCUACCAAGGCGACGAUCCGUAACUGGUCUGAGAGGAUGAUCAGUCACACUGGAACUGAGACACGGUCCAGACUCCUACGGGAGGCAGCAGUGGGGAAUAUUGGACAAUGGGCGAAAGCCUGAUCCAGCCAUGCCGCGUGUGUGAAGAAGGUCUUCGGAUUGUAAAGCACUUUAAGUUGGGAGGAAGGGCAGUAAGUUAAUACCUUGCUGUUUUGACGUUACCAACAGAAUAAGCACCGGCUAACUUCGUG
This 484-nucleotide ribosomal RNA is filed under the name uncultured bacterium. Its description in RNAcentral is "partial 16S ribosomal RNA". It matches the Rfam family "Bacterial small subunit ribosomal RNA", at positions 30 to 507 of the family's 1533-position model. The record is from RNAcentral.